Molecule: ribosomal RNA, 1491 nt
Filed under: uncultured prokaryote
Description: partial 16S ribosomal RNA
Rfam family: Bacterial small subunit ribosomal RNA
Source: RNAcentral
GAGAGUUUGAUCCUGGCUCAGGAUGAACGCUAGCGACAGGCCUAACACAUGCAAGUCGAGGGGCAGCAUUUCUAGCUUGCUAGAAGAUGGCGACCGGCGCACGGGUGAGUAACGCGUAUGCAACCUACCUUAUACUGGGGGAUAGCCCAAAGAAAUUUGGAUUAAUACCGCAUAACAUAUUUGAAUCGCAUGGUUUAAAUAUUAAAACUCCGGUGGUAUAAGAUGGGCAUGCGUAGCAUUAGUUUGUUGGUGAGGUAACGGCUCACCAAGACUAUGAUGCUUAGGGGGUCUGAGAGGAUAGUCCCCCACACUGGUACUGAGACACGGACCAGACUCCUACGGGAGGCAGCAGUGAGGAAUAUUGGUCAAUGGACGCAAGUCUGAACCAGCCAUGUCGCGUGCAGGAUGACGGCCCUAUGGGUUGUAAACUGCUUUUUUUACAGGAAUAAUUGUCGCUACGUGUAGAGAUUUGAAUGUACUGUAUGAAUAAGGAUCGGCUAACUCCGUGCCAGCAGCCGCGGUAAUACGGAGGAUUCGAGCGUUAUCCGGAUUUAUUGGGUUUAAAGGGUCCGUAGGCGGUUCUUUAAGUCAGUGGUGAAAUCCCAGAGCUCAACUCUGGAACUGCCAUUGAAACUGAAGAACUUGAAUAUGGUUGAGGUAGGCGGAAUACGUUAUGUAGCGGUGAAAUGCAUAGAUAUAACGUAGAACACCAAUUGCGAAGGCAGCUUACUAAUCUAUAACUGACGCUGAUGCACGAAAGCGUGGGUAGCGAACAGGAUUAGAUACCCUGGUAGUCCACGCUGUAAACGAUGUUCACUCGUUGUUGGCAAUACAUCGUCAGCGACUAAGCGAAAGUGAUAAGUGAACCACCUGGGGAGUACGAUCGCAAGGUUGAAACUCAAAGGAAUUGACGGGGGCCCGCACAAGCGGAGGAGCAUGUGGUUUAAUUCGAUGAUACGCGAGGAACCUUACCUGGGCUUAAAUGUAGAUUGACAGUCAAAGAGAUUUGAUUUUCUUCGGACAAUUUACAAGGUGCUGCAUGGUUGUCGUCAGCUCGUGCCGUGAGGUGUCGGGUUAAGUCCCAUAACGAGCGCAACCCUUACCGUUAGUUGCCAUCAGGUCAAGCUGGGGACUCUAGCGGAACUGCCUGCGCAAGCAGAGAGGAAGGUGGGGAUGACGUCAAAUCAGCACGGCCCUUAUGUCCAGGGCUACACACGUGCUACAAUGGUCGGUACAGAGGGCAGCCACCUGGUGACAGGGAGCGAAUCUCAAAAACUCGUCUCAGUUCGGAUUGAAGUCUGCAACUCGACUUCAUGAAGCUGGAAUCGCUAGUAAUCGCGCAUCAGCCAUGGCGCGGUGAAUACGUUCCCGGGCCUUGUACACACCGCCCGUCAAACCAUGGAAGCUGGGGGUGCCUGAAGUCGGUAACCGCAAGGAGCCGCCUAGGGUAAAUCUGGUAACUAGGGUUAAGUCGGAACAAGGUAGCCGUAG